CCUACGGGCGGCUGCAGUGAGGAAUAUUGGUCAAUGGGCGAGAGCCUGAACCAGCCAAGUCGCGUGAGGGAGUACUGCCCUAUGGGUUGUAAACCUCUUUUGUCGGGGAGCAAAAGCCGGACGUGUCCGGCUGUGAGAGUACCCGAAGAAAAAGCAUCGGCUAACUCCGUGCCAGCAGCCGCGGUAAUACGGAGGAUGCGAGCGUUAUCCGGAUUUAUUGGGUUUAAAGGGUGCGCAGGCGGAUUUUUAAGUCUGCGGUAAAAUCGUGGGGCUCAACCCCAUCCAGCCGUUGAAACUGGGGAUCUAGAGUGUGCGAGAGGUAUGCGGAAUGCGUGGUGUAGCGGUGAAAUGCAUAGAUAUCACGCAGAACCCCGAUUGCGAAGGCAGCAUACCGGUGCACAACUGACGCUCAGGCACGAAAGCGUGGGUAUCGAACAGGAUUAGAUACCCUUGUAGUC
Molecule: ribosomal RNA, 458 nt
Filed under: uncultured bacterium
Lineage: Bacteria
Description: partial 16S ribosomal RNA
Rfam family: Bacterial small subunit ribosomal RNA
Source: RNAcentral